AGGAAGGGACGGCUAACUCUGUGCCAGCAGCCGCGGUAAUACAGAGGUCCCAAGCGUUGUUCGGAUUUACUGGGCGUAAAGAGUGCGUAGGCGGCUAGAAAAGUUUGGUGUGAAAUCUUCGGGCUUAACCCGGAAACUGCACUGAAAACUAUCUGGCUAGAGGAUCGGAGAGGAGAUUGGAAUUCUCGGUGUAGCAGUGAAAUGCGUAGAUAUCGAGAGGAACACCAGUUGCGAAGGCGGAUCUCUGGACGGUUUCUGACGCUGAGGCACGAAAGCUGGGGUAGCGAAGAGGAUUAGAUACCCUCGUAGUCCCAGCCGUAAACGGUGCACACUUGCUGUGGGCGGAUUCGACCCCGUCCGUGGCGAAGCUAACGCGAUAAGUGUGCCGCCUGGGGAGUACGGUCGCAAGAUUAAAACUCAAAGAAAUUGACGGGGGCCUGCACAAGCGGUGGAGUAUGUGGCUUAAUUCGAUGCAACGCGAAGAACCUUACCUGGCCUUGAUCACCCUUUUCUUCGGAACUGCUACACAGGUGCUGCAUGGCUGUCGUCAGCUCGUGUCGUGAGAUGUUGGGUUAAGUCCCGCAACGAGCGCAACCCUCGUGUUCUGUUGCCACCCGGAGUUAAAUCCGGAGCACUCUGGACAGACUGCCUGGUUUCAACUAGGAGGAAGGUGAGGAUGACGUCAAGUCAGUAUGGCCCUUACGGCCAGGGCUGCACACGUACUACAAUGCCUGAUAUAAUGGGAAGCAAGACCGCGAGGUGGAGCAAAUCCUCAAAAUCAGGCCCAGUUCAGAUUGUAGGCUGCAACUCGCCUACAUGAAGGAGGAAUCGCUAGUAAUGCCGUAUCAGCUACGACGGCGUGAAUACGUUCCCAGGCCUUGUACACACCGCCCGUCACAUCAUGAAAGUCGAUUGUACCCGAAGUCACUGAGUUAACUUGCAAAAGAAACAGGUGCCGAAGGUAUGGUUGGUAAUUGGGAUGAAGUCGUAACAAGGUAGCCGUAGGGGAACCUGUGGCUG
RNAcentral lists this ribosomal RNA (1020 nucleotides) under hydrothermal vent metagenome. RNAcentral describes it as "bacterial SSU rRNA". It matches the Rfam family "Bacterial small subunit ribosomal RNA", at positions 485 to 1520 of the family's 1533-position model. The record is from RNAcentral.